UGAUGGCAGAAAUGCAGUUGGAGGCAGGAAGGCAGACCAGGAAGAGGGCACAGCCUGGAUGAAAGCACAGAGGGCUCAGAUGGGCCUGGAGAGCACAGCACUGCACUGGGCCCAGGGAGAGCCUCAGGAGGAGGAGGACAUCCCAGGAACAUGGAACAGCUUGGGCUACCACUGCAGGGAUCAAGUGGGACUCUUCCCUGAUACUACACAGUCAUUCUCUCUGCUGGGGCCUGAGGCCAAUGAAACUCCCACUGGGGGAGGGGACAAUGUAUCUUCCAAGCUCAGGACACCAGGCUCAGCUCACAUUGAGGGUCAGGUGGCUGGGGUUCCCUGCUCUGAUCAUGGCCCACAUAGGGAGUGCUCACACACCUCAACGGGACACGAAAACACAAGCCCAAGCCACCAGAAGGAGCCCUGGCUGGCAGCGACUGGGACAAGCAAGAGGCAGAUGGUGGUUUUGGAUACAAUGUGUGGGCCAUGGGGAGAGCUGUGUGAAUGAAGCAUAUGGCUGCCCCUGGAUUGCCCAACCUGGACCCAGCUGGAAGCCCCAUUCGCUCUCCUGGAAGAUGCCUGACAUGAACAUCUGGCCACAUCUGCCCUCAAGAAACAGAAUCCUGAGGCUGGGGCUGUAGCUCAGUGCUAGAGCACUUGCCUUGCACGUGUGAGGUACUGGGUUCGAUCCUCAGCACCACAUAAAGAUACUGUACCAACUACAACUAAAAAUAUUAAAAAGAGAAAAAAGAGGGCUGGGGAUGUGGCUCAAGCGGCAGCGCGCUCGCCUGGCAUGCGUGCGGCCUGGGUUCGAUCCUCAGCACCACAUACAGACAAAGAUGUUGUGUCCGCCG
Molecule: long non-coding RNA, 845 nt
Filed under: Ictidomys tridecemlineatus (thirteen-lined ground squirrel)
Lineage: Eukaryota; Metazoa; Chordata; Mammalia; Rodentia; Sciuridae
Description: lncRNA (ENSSTOG00000031037.1)
Rfam family: tRNA (bases 623-691)
Source: RNAcentral